GACGGAGGGUGCUAGCGUUGUUCGGAAUCACUGGGCGUAAAGGGCGCGUAGGCGGCCAGGCAAGUCGGCUUGUGAAAGCCCGGGGCUCAACCCCGGAGGUGCGGCCGGGACUGCCUGGCUGGAGGCCGGAAGAGGAGGGUGGAAUACCCAGUGUAGAGGUGAAAUUCGUAGAUAUUGGGUGGAACACCGGUGGCGAAAGCGGCUCUCUGGUCCGGACCUGACGCUGAGGCGCGAAAGCGUGGGGAGCAAACAGG
Molecule: ribosomal RNA, 254 nt
Filed under: uncultured bacterium
Lineage: Bacteria
Description: partial 16S ribosomal RNA
Rfam family: Bacterial small subunit ribosomal RNA
Source: RNAcentral